Molecule: ribosomal RNA, 494 nt
Filed under: uncultured soil bacterium
Lineage: Bacteria
Description: bacterial SSU rRNA
Rfam family: Bacterial small subunit ribosomal RNA
Source: RNAcentral
UGCUUUACACAUGUUAGUCGAGCGAGGCGGGUAGCAAUACCCAGUCGAGCGGCGAACGGGUGAGUAACGCGUGGAUAACCUGCCCUGAGGUGUGGAACAACCAGGGGAAACUCUGGCUAAUACCGCAUGAUACCGAGAGGUCAAAGGGGGCUCGCAAGGGCUCUCGCCACAGGAGGGGUCCGCGUCCGAUUAGCUAGUUGGUAGGGUAAUGGCCUACCAAGGCGACGAUCGGUAGCCGGCCUGAGAGGGUGAUCGGCCACACUGGAACUGAGACACGGUCCAGACUCCUACGGGAGGCAGCAGUGGGGAAUUUUGCGCAAUGGGCUAACGCCUGACGCAGCAACGCCGCGUGGAGGAUGAAGGUCCUUGGAUUGUAAACUCCUGUCAGCGGGGAAAAAGCGACUCGGCCUAAUACGCCGGGAAGUUGAUUGUACCCGCAGAGGAAGCCCCGGCUAACUCUGUGCCAGCAGCCGCCGUAAUACAGAGGGGGGCAA